GCAUGUCUAAGUAUAAGCAAUUAUACCGCGAAACUGCGAAUGGCUCAUUAUAUAAGUUAUCGUUUAUUUGAUAAUACUUUACUACUUGGAUAACCGUGGUAAUUCUAGAGCUAAUACAUGCUGAAAAUCCCGACUUCGGAAGGGAUGUAUUUAUUAGAUUAAAAACCAAUGCCCCUCGGGGCUCUCUGGUGAAUCAUGAUAACUAGUCGAAUCGACAGGCCUUGUGCCGGCGAUGGCUCAUUCAAAUUUCUUCCCUAUCAACUUUCGAUGUUUGGGUAUUGGCCAAACAUGGUGGCAACGGGUAACGGAGGGUUAGGGCUCGACCCCGGAGAAGGAGCCUGAGAAACGGCUACUACAUCCAAGGAAGGCAGCAGGCGCGCAAAUUACCCAAUCCCGACACGGGGAGGUAGUGACAAUAAAUACUGAUACAGGGCUCUUUUGGGUCUUGUAAUCGGAAUGAGUACAAUUUAAAUCCCUUAACGAGGAACAAUUGGAGGGCAAGUCUGGUGCCAGCAGCCGCGGUAAUUCCAGCUCCAAUAGCGUAUAUUAAAGUUGUUGUGGUUAAAAAGCUCGUAGUUGAACCUUGGGCCUGGCUGGCCGGUCCGCCUCACCGCGUGCACUGGUCCGGCCGGGCCUUUCCCUCUGCGGAACCCCAUGCCCUUCACUGGGUGUGGCGGGGAAACAGGACUUUUACUUUGAAAAAAUUAGAGUGCUCAAGGCAGGCCUAUGCUCGAAUACAUUAGCAUGGAAUAAUAGAAUAGGACGUGUGGUUCUAUUUUGUUGGUUUCUAGGACCGCCGUAAUGAUUAAUAGGGACAGUCGGGGGCAUCAGUAUUCAAUUGUCAGAGGUGAAAUUCUUGGAUUUAUUGAAGACUAACUACUGCGAAAGCAUUUGCCAAGGAUGUUUUCAUUAAUCAGGAACGAAAGUUAGGGGAUCGAAGACGAUCAGAUACCGUCGUAGUCUUAACCAUAAACUAUGCCGACUAGGGAUCGGACGAUGUUACAUUUUUGACGCGUUCGGCACCUUACGAGAAAUCAAAGUGCUUGGGCUCCAGGGGGAGUAUGGUCGCAAGGCU
RNAcentral lists this ribosomal RNA (1075 nucleotides) under Hypocreales sp. CMCG7. RNAcentral describes it as "SSU rRNA". It matches the Rfam family "Eukaryotic small subunit ribosomal RNA", at positions 53 to 1138 of the family's 1831-position model. Lineage: Eukaryota; Fungi; Ascomycota; Sordariomycetes; Hypocreales. The record is from RNAcentral.